AUUGAACGCUGGCGGCAGGCCUAACACAUGCAAGUCGAGCGAGCGGCGGACGGGUGAGUAAUGUCUGGGAAACUGCCUGAUGGAGGGGGAUAACUACUGGAAACGGUAGCUAAUACCGCAUACCAUCAGAUGUGCCCCGAUGGGUUUAGCUAGUAGGUGAGGUAACGGCUCACCUAGGCGACGAUCCCUAGCUGGUCUGAGAGGCUGACCCGCCACACUGGAACUGAGACACGGCCCAGACUCCUACGGGAGGCAGCAGUGGGGAAUAUUGCACAAUGGGCGCAAGCCUGAGACAGCCAUGCCGCGUGUGGGAAGAAGGCCUUCGGGUUGUAAAGCACUUUCAGCGGGGAGGCGUUACCCGCAGAAGAAGCACCGGCUAACUCCGUGCCAGCAGCCGCGGUAAUUC
This 406-nucleotide ribosomal RNA is filed under the name uncultured bacterium. RNAcentral describes it as "partial 16S ribosomal RNA". It matches the Rfam family "Bacterial small subunit ribosomal RNA", at positions 30 to 526 of the family's 1533-position model. The record is from RNAcentral.